RNAcentral lists this unclassified non-coding RNA (332 nucleotides) under Melitaea cinxia (Glanville fritillary). RNAcentral describes it as "misc RNA ENSMCXG00005010258.1". Lineage: Eukaryota; Metazoa; Arthropoda; Insecta; Lepidoptera; Nymphalidae. The record is from RNAcentral.
AAUAUAUCGCUCGCGCUCUGAUCGAUAACGGAUCUAUGAAUGACUUUGUUACUAUUAAUCUUUGUAAGAAAUUAUCAUUAAAAAUUAAUUCGCUUCCUGAAAAAGUUACUGUAAACGGGUUAAGGGACAAACAAAUAUUAAAUUUUACUCGCGUUUUGAUCGCAAUAUUUCUUUUAAUUUACAACCACUUGUUGUGGAAAAUAUUACGGACCGCAUUCCUACGUUACCUAUUGAUAGGUCGAUGUUAGCAUAUCUUUCCCGCACGCCGCUUGCUGAUGAUACAUUCUCUGAUCCCGGUGAGGUCGAGAUGUUGAUUGGCGCUAAGUUAUUUA